CGGGCGGGGAGGGCCCUGGCCUGCCCCGGCUGCUCCCAAUCGAGGGAGCUGAUGAGUGAAGCGGUUCCUCCAAGACCCGUGGGGUCGCCCCGGGGCACGCAGGCCUUGGGCCGUGUGAAGGAUGCGGUAACCCACGGCAGGUCUCACGGGGAACCCCCUCGGAGAAACUCUCCAACUGUGGGGAGGGUUUUUUUUUAGGAGGCCAGAAUGAAUUACUGUAAUGCUCUUCCAUGCCCAGGAUUGACCUGGGAGAGGCGUAUCUUGGCUCAAGUCCACCUGGGUAAGGAAGGACCUGAUGGGAAACCCUGCAGACGAGCUGCAGGCAGAGCUUAAUUCAUUAGGAUUUAAAUUUGGUCUUAAAGAUAGGCGUAUGCUUGGCUGCCCUGCUGAGCUGGUAUCUCUUGCAGCUGCCAGGCUGUUAACUCUGCCUGCGGCAGUGUUUAAAAAUCAUCACAUAUUUGGCUAUGAAUUUGGGUAUUUUCUGACAGGGUUUGGAAAGACAUACUUCACUCAAAGAUGGGGUAAACUAAACACUGUGUUUAGUUCAGGGGCAGGUAUUGCUAGUCUUAGUAGAGUUUGGGUUACCAAACAUCCCACAGACAACACCAGGGGAAAGGCGCUCUGCGAGCCACAAAGCACAGGUCUCAUGCAGCGCUGCAGCUCCCCUGCACAUGGGACCUCAUCCUGUUGCCAGGACCCACCCUGCCCUUGGUGUGGGGUUGGUGUAACCUGGUGUAUGAGGGGCAUCUGUCCCUUCAUGGCACAGCACAGCCCACACACUCUGGGGCUGCAGAGACACAGGAGUCCAGGAUGUCCAUGGAGACACGUCCCAGCAUGGAGGUGCCAUCCCAGGGCACAGCACCAAGCACAUCCCACAGAGCUCCUGGAAUCACACCUGCAGGCAGUUUUGACAUGGCUCCAUGUGACACAUGAGACUCCAGUGCACAGGUGGCUGCAGCUUGUGCCUCUGGAAUAUGCAGUUGCAAAACAGAGGAGCCAAAUGAACUCAGUACAGCAAAUUCCAGUUCUAAGUUUCCUUUUAGGUCUCAAGGAUACUAUUCCUGUGAGCUGGCAGAGCAAACAGGCUGACUCAGCCAACUGAAUGAAGUAAAAGACUGUAUCAAAAAAUGCAAUGAGUCAAAAGGAAGAGUGGACCAUCAGUAACAAGUCGGACAGGCGGAGAUUGCUGCACACCAGCCUCAUGUUAACAGAGAGCUUACACCACCGACGUGAGUCAGUGAGUACUGUUUCUAGCCAUCCCUGGGUUUGGAGAUCACAGAGUAGAGUUGUGAAGUUUGGAAACAGCAGAAGGGCAAAUUCAGGAAGGAGCAAUUGAGUAACCACUGAGACAGAGAAGCAUAGCAGAAAAAAUUUCUUCUCCAGCAUCCCAAACAGAGAGGGUGAGUGCCUUCUGAAGUGGUAAGAGCUAAUCAGAACUUGUCACAGAAAUGUGACUGAGGGGAAGAAUUUGCUUUGAGAAAGAAGAGAGUUGAUAACUGAGACAAAACUGGGUAUGUGCAUGAUGCCAGCUAUGCAGGGAGUCUUAAUGGAAAGUCUUGAGGUGGCUGUAGUCAGAAAUAAGCCUAAGCCUUUGACUUCUACAUUUGCUAUGCAGAAACAAAAUAAGCAGUGGCUCAGCCAUUGGACUCCGUUAACAGCAGGCAGGCUACUCCGAGAGGGAACAGUCUAUGUUCUCCAGGUGCCUUUCCUCUUCCUCAUCUGCAGUCUCCAG
RNAcentral lists this long non-coding RNA (1732 nucleotides) under Calidris pugnax (ruff). RNAcentral describes it as "lncRNA (ENSCPUG00000019436.1)". The record is from RNAcentral. Lineage: Eukaryota; Metazoa; Chordata; Aves; Charadriiformes; Scolopacidae.